GACGAACGCUGGCGGCGUGCUUAACACAUGCAAGUCGAACGGAAAGGCCCUGCUUUUGUGGGGUGCUCGAGUGGCGAACGGGUGAGUAACACGUGAGUAACCUGCCCUUGACUUUGGGAUAACUUCAGGAAACUGGGGCUAAUACCGGAUAGGAGCUCCUGCUGCAUGGUGGGGGUUGGAAAGUUUCGGCGGUUGGGGAUGGACUCGCGGCUUAUCAGCUUGUUGGUGGGGUAGUGGCUUACCAAGGCUUUGACGGGUAGCCGGCCUGAGAGGGUGACCGGCCACGUUGGGACUGAGAUACGGCCCAGACUCCUACGGGAGGCAGCAGUGCGGAAUAUUGCACAAUGGGCGGAAGCCUGAUGUAGCAACGCCGCGUGCGGGAUGACGGCCUUCGGGUUGUAAACCGCUUUCGCCUGUGACGAAGCGUGAGUGACGGUAAUGGGUAAAGAAGCACCGGCUAACUACGUG
This 468-nucleotide ribosomal RNA is filed under the name uncultured bacterium. RNAcentral describes it as "partial 16S ribosomal RNA". It matches the Rfam family "Bacterial small subunit ribosomal RNA", at positions 28 to 507 of the family's 1533-position model. The record is from RNAcentral.